This 377-nucleotide unclassified non-coding RNA is filed under the name uncultured bacterium. RNAcentral's name for it is "contains 16S-23S intergenic spacer region". The record is from RNAcentral.
UCCCCGUUCUCCUGGGCAGUCUCUCCAGAGUUCUCGGCUUGACCCGUUAGUAACUGAAGACAGGGGUUGCGCUCGUUGCGGGACUUAACCCAACACCUCAUGGCACGAGCUGACGACAGCCAUGCAGCACCUCGCACGCAGUCCGAAGAAGAUCACGUUUCCGCGACUGUCUACGUGCGUUCGAGCCCUGGUAAGGUUCCUCGCGUAUCAUCGAAUUGAACCACAUGCUCCACCGCUUGUGCGGGCCCCCGUCAAUUCCUUUGAGUUUCAAUCUUGCGAUCGUACUCCCCAGGUGGGGCACUUAAUGCGUUAGCUUCGGCACGGAGAACGUGGAAUGUUCCCCACACCUAGUACCCAUCGUUUACGGCGUGGACUAC